This 870-nucleotide ribosomal RNA is filed under the name Bacillus licheniformis. RNAcentral's name for it is "bacterial SSU rRNA". It matches the Rfam family "Bacterial small subunit ribosomal RNA", at positions 61 to 908 of the family's 1533-position model. The record is from RNAcentral. Lineage: Bacteria; Bacillati; Bacillota; Bacilli; Caryophanales; Bacillaceae.
GUCGAGCGGACCGACGGGAGCUUGCUCCCUUAGGUCAGCGGCGGACGGGUGAGUAACACGUGGGUAACCUGCCUGUAAGACUGGGAUAACUCCGGGAAACCGGGGCUAAUACCGGAUGCUUGAUUGAACCGCAUGGUUCAAUCAUAAAAGGUGGCUUUUAGCUACCACUUACAGAUGGACCCGCGGCGCAGUAGCUAGUUGGUGAGGUAACGGCUCACCAAGGCGACGAUGCGUAGCCGACCUGAGAGGGUGAUCGGCCACACUGGGACUGAGACACGGCCCAGACUCCUACGGGAGGCAGCAGUAGGGAAUCUUCCGCAAUGGACGAAAGUCUGACGGAGCAACGCCGCGUGAGUGAUGAAGGUUUUCGGAUCGUAAAACUCUGUUGUUAGGGAAGAACAAGUACCGUUCGAAUAGGGCGGUACCUUGACGGUACCUAACCAGAAAGCCACGGCUAACUACGUGCCAGCAGCCGCGGUAAUACGUAGGUGGCAAGCGUUGUCCGGAAUUAUUGGGCGUAAAGCGCGCGCAGGCGGUUUCUUAAGUCUGAUGUGAAAGCCCCCGGCUCAACCGGGGAGGGUCAUUGGAAACUGGGGAACUUGAGUGCAGAAGAGGAGAGUGGAAUUCCACGUGUAGCGGUGAAAUGCGUAGAGAUGUGGAGGAACACCAGUGGCGAAGGCGACUCUCUGGUCUGUAACUGACGCUGAGGCGCGAAAGCGUGGGGAGCGAACAGGAUUAGAUACCCUGGUAGUCCACGCCGUAAACGAUGAGUGCUAAGUGGUUAGAAGGGUUUCCGCCCUUUAGUGCUGCAGCAAACGCAUUAAGCACUCCGCCCGGGGGAGUACGGUCGCAAGACUGAAACUCAAAGGA